Molecule: transfer-messenger RNA, 373 nt
Filed under: Actinocorallia herbida
Lineage: Bacteria; Bacillati; Actinomycetota; Actinomycetes; Streptosporangiales; Thermomonosporaceae
Description: Standard tmRNA
Rfam family: transfer-messenger RNA
About the family: Bacterial tmRNA, also known as 10Sa RNA or SsrA, is named for its dual tRNA and mRNA-like properties. Its role is to liberate the mRNA from a stalled ribosome. To accomplish this part of the tmRNA is used as a reading frame that ends in a translation stop signal.
Source: Rfam by way of RNAcentral
GGGGGUGACUGGUUUCGACUGCGGUAGUCGUGCCAGGAGAAGCGGGCCGAGGGUUGCGAUCACGACCUCGUAAAUCCCGAGAUCGCAAACCAAUAAGUGCCAACUCUAAGCGCACUGAGUUCGCCCUCGCCGCCUGAGGCGAGUAGCGACUCUGUCGGCCUAGGAGAGUCUCCGACCUAGGAUCCGGCAUCGUGAGGAGACUCAACCCACCGCCCCGGUCGCGGGGGAGGUGGGGAAACCAAACAGCGACUGAGCCUGUCAGUGACUAGCCUGCAAGAGCACUGGGGCUGAGAAAACGCCAAGCAAGGCUGCGCCCGGAGAAGACCUGUCUCACUGCUGUAGGACCAGGGUUCGAUUCCCUGCACCUCCACCG